RNAcentral lists this unclassified non-coding RNA (21 nucleotides) under Mus musculus (house mouse). RNAcentral describes it as "oocyte_clustered_small_RNA4738". The record is from RNAcentral. Lineage: Eukaryota; Metazoa; Chordata; Mammalia; Rodentia; Muridae.
AGAGCACUGCCAAAUGAACUG